Molecule: long non-coding RNA, 1205 nt
Filed under: Zalophus californianus (California sea lion)
Lineage: Eukaryota; Metazoa; Chordata; Mammalia; Carnivora; Otariidae
Description: lncRNA (ENSZCAG00015013370.1)
Source: RNAcentral
CCUCUGGGACCUUUAUGUUGGGAUAGCCCUGGACUCACAGGUUGAUUUGGGGGAAGAACUGACAUGUUUCCAGCGGCGCUGAUUCUCCCCAAAGCACCACGCGACGCACUCGUUUCUCUAGGUGUCCUUUCUGUUGUCUGGUAAAGCGUUGAAUUCCCCGUGUAGGGCUAGCAGCGUCUUGUGACCCGUAUUCCUGUGUGCUUUAUGCUUUUAAUAAUGUUGUGUGUUCGCACCGGUUAUUAGGAUCGCACAGAAUGGUCUGGGGCCGUAUGUAGUUGCCACAAACGGAGCUGGGCAGAAGUCCACGCUAGUUACCGCGCUCCUGCAGCACCUUCAGAGGGCACAGAGGGACCGCACUCCUGGCCCUUUGUGGUCGGAGGCGGGACUUGCCCUGGGCAAGUCCUUGUGUUGCUUCCCAGCUGGGGUGCAUUUAUCCGCCAGUGUGGACAUCCCGCCCCCAAACCACCAGCAUCCAGGACUGUUCCUAAGGGUGGCCGCUCUCUCGGUCUUGUGGGGAGGAGACCACGGCACAGUGUUGGCUGAGCCACGCGGAGCGUGCAGUGUGGCCAGGAAGUGAGCCCCCGAAAUCAGGCUGCUCAUCAAGGCCACACAACCUCACCCAGCCUGACACGCAUUUACUAACCCCUACCCCUGUUCCACCAGGUUUUGGGUGAUUUCCUUACUUCCCAGGCGGAGGUCCCAUUCGGACAGUCGGCUGUCCCUCCUUCACGGUGCUCACCUGUGCUGCCAUGGGGACCACGGGGCUGGCCGUGGGCAGUGACCCUGCCCUUGUUCCUGCCUGUGCUGGGGGCCACUCGAAAGCCCCACAGUUCCGGACAUUUGCAGGAUGGGGAGUUUGAUACCCAGGCAAACAAACUUCACUCCACGGCCCCAAAUCCCGAGGAGGAAAAGGGGACUCCAUUCUCCCGAGUCAACACCAUACCUGACUUUGCUAAUCUUUCUGAGGAUCUCGCGUGUUUGCCCGAGGAAUUGGGGGGCAGCAUUUCUGGGCUGUUCUCCCCUGGUCUGGCCUCCAUACACGGGGACACCAGCUUCAUGGCGGUGCUCUGGUGGGAGCCCAGGAAGCCCGCAAGCCCGAGCACGGGGCGAGCGCAGGCCUGGGCACUGGCUCUGGGUUCCAAAGAUAACCAGCCUCUUGGCCACGUCACUCCCUGUUCUAGAAACGAUUCAGGCAACUUAGAUCU